GUCUUUCGGUUCCUGGGGUAGUAUGGUUGCAAAGCUGAAACUUAAAGAAAUUGACGGAAUGGCACCACCAGGAGUGGAGCCUGCGGCUUAAUUUGACUCAACACGGGAAAACUCACCCGGCCCGGACACCGUAAGGAUUGACAGAUUGAAAGCUCUUUCUCGAUUUGGUGGUUGGUGGUGCAUGGCCGUUCUUAGUUGGUGGAGCGAUUUGUCUGGUUUAUUCCGAUAACGAGCGAGACUCUAGCCUGCUAAAUAGUGACUAGAUUUUUAUGUCUAGUCUACUUCUUAGAGGGAUAAGCGGUGUUUAGCCGCACGAGAUUGAGCGAUAACAGGUCUGUGAUGCCCUUAGAUGUCCGGGGCUGCACGCGCGCUACAAUGGAAGAAUCAGCUGGCCUAUCCAUUGCCGAAAGGUAUUGGUAAACCGUUGAAACUCUUCCGUGACCGGGAUAGGGAAUUGUAAUUAUUUCCCUUGAACGAGGAAUUCCUAGUAAGUGUGAGUCAUCAGCUCACGCUG
This 514-nucleotide ribosomal RNA is filed under the name Molineus patens. RNAcentral's name for it is "SSU rRNA". It matches the Rfam family "Eukaryotic small subunit ribosomal RNA", at positions 1103 to 1643 of the family's 1831-position model. The record is from RNAcentral. Lineage: Eukaryota; Metazoa; Nematoda; Chromadorea; Rhabditida; Molineidae.